RNAcentral lists this ribosomal RNA (1954 nucleotides) under human gut metagenome. RNAcentral's name for it is "bacterial LSU rRNA". It matches the Rfam family "Bacterial large subunit ribosomal RNA", at positions 1 to 1977 of the family's 2925-position model. The record is from RNAcentral.
UUAAGUGACUAAGCGUACACGGUGGAUGCCUAGGCAGUCAGAGGCGAUGAAGGACGUGCUAAUCUGCGAUAAGCGUCGGUAAGCUGAUAUGAAGCGUUAUAACCGACGAUUUCCGAAUGGGGAAACCCAGUGCAACUCGUUGCACUAUCGUUAAGUGAAUACAUAGCUUAACGAAGCGAACCAGGGGAACUGAAACAUCUAAGUACCCUGAGGAAAAGAAAUCAACCGAGAUUCCCCUAGUAGCGGCGAGCGAACGGGGAGCAGCCCAGAACCUUAAUCAGCGUAUGUGUCAGAGGAACGGUCUGGAAAGUCCGGCGAUACAGGGUGAUAGCCCCGUACUUGAAAAUACAUAUGCUGUGAGUUCGAUGAGUAGGGCGGGACACGUGACAUCCUGUCUGAAUAUGGGGGGACCAUCCUCCAAGGCUAAAUACUCCUGACUGACCGAUAGUGAACCAGUACCGUGAGGGAAAGGCGAAAAGAACCCCGGCGAGGGGAGUGAAAUAGAACCUGAAACCGUGUACGUACAAGCAGUGGGAGCCUCUUUUAUGGGGUGACUGCGUACCUUUUGUAUAAUGGGUCAGCGACUUAUAUUUUGUAGCAAGGUUAACCGAAUAGGGGAGCCGUAGGGAAACCGAGUCUUAACUGGGCGUCAAGUUGCAAGGUAUAGACCCGAAACCCGGUGAUCUAGCCAUGGGCAGGUUGAAGGUUGGGUAACACUAACUGGAGGACCGAACCGACUAAUGUUGAAAAAUUAGCGGAUGACUUGUGGCUGGGGGUGAAAGGCCAAUCAAACCGGGAGAUAGCUGGUUCUCCCCGAAAGCUAUUUAGGUAGCGCCUCGUGAACUCAUCUUCGGGGGUAGAGCACUGUUUCGACUAGGGGGUCAUCCCGACUUACCAACUCGAUGCAAACUACGAAUACCGAAGAAUGUUAUCACGGGAGACACACGGCGGGUGCUAACGUCCGUCGUGAAGAGGGAAACAACCCAGACCGCCAGCUAAGGUCCCAAAGUCAUAGUUAAGUGGGAAACGAUGUGGGAAGGCAUAGACAGCCAGGAUGUUGGCUUAGAAGCAGCCAUCAUUUAAAGAAAGCGUAAUAGCUCACUGGUCGAGUCGGCCUGCGCGGAAGAUGUAACGGGGCUAAACUAUGCACCGAAGCUGCGGCAGCGACACUUAGGUGUUGUUGGGUAGGGGAGCGUUCUGUAAGCCUGUGAAGGUGACCUGUGAGGGUUGCUGGAGGUAUCAGAAGUGCGAAUGCUGACAUAAGUAACGAUAAAGCGGGUGAAAAACCCGCUCGCCGGAAGACCAAGGGUUCCUGUCCAACGUUAAUCGGGGCAGGGUGAGUCGACCCCUAAGGCGAGGCCGAAAGGCGUAGUCGAUGGGAAACAGGUUAAUAUUCCUGUACUCGGUGUUACUGCGAAGGGGGGACGGAGAAGGCUAGGCUAUCCGGGCGACGGUUGUCCCGGUUUAAGCGUGUAGGGGGUGUGACUUGGUAAAUCCGGUCGCAUAUCAACCCUGAGGCGUGAUGACGAGUCACUACGGUGAUGAAGUAGUUGAUGCCAAGCUUCCAGGAAAAGCCUCUAAGCUCUAGGUAACAUUGAAUCGUACCCCAAACCGACACAGGUGGUCAGGUAGAGAAUACCAAGGCGCUUGAGAGAACUCGGGUGAAGGAACUAGGCAAAAUGGUGCCGUAACUUCGGGAGAAGGCACGCUGGCGCGUAGGUGAAGUCCCUUGCGGAUGGAGCUGAAGCCAGUCGAAGAUACCAGCUGGCUGCAACUGUUUAAUAAAAACACAGCACUGUGCAAACACGAAAGUGGACGUAUACGGUGUGACGCCUGCCCGGUGCUGGAAGGUUAAUUGAUGGGGUCAGCCGCAAGGCGAAGCUCUUGAUCGAAGCCCCAGUAAACGGCGGCCGUAACUAUAACGGUCCUAAGGUAGCGAAAUUCCUUGUCGGGU